GGCGCUUUGGCGGAGUGGUUAACGCGGUGCCCUGCUAUUGUACGACUGUAUAAUACAGGGAGGCAUUUCCUUCGGGAGCGUAGGUUCGAAUCCUGCAGGCGUCG
This is a non-coding RNA of Hypomontagnella submonticulosa, 104 nucleotides long. Lineage: Eukaryota; Fungi; Ascomycota; Sordariomycetes; Xylariales; Hypoxylaceae. The record is from the annotation of a GenBank genome assembly.